UAACUUUGUUUUUAUGUAGGCUAGGACUGCGCGGGCAGGAACUAGAGAGGAGACAUCGGUGCCUGGAGAAAAGGGUCUUGCUUAUCCAGGCGUGGCUUUGCGGCGGUUGGGCUCAAUAGGUGAACCACCAACGUUCAACUGCAGAUGUAUGUGAGAGGUCACAGAAAAAACAUUCCUGGGAUGAGACACGCCCCCUUCGCCCGAGGUUUCGUGGGUGAGGAGAGGAAGUACAUUUAGGGCACUGACCGUCCCCACCUUUUCGCAGAAUUCUAGAAUUGGCAAAUGAAAAGGUGGGGGGUGGUCUGGAUUAUAGCAGUUCACCUUGUACCUCUUCACAGGGCCUGGUGGCAGUAAUAACCGGAGGAGCCUCGGGCCUUGGCCUGUCUACAGCCAAAAGACUGGUGGGACAAGGAGCCACAGCUGUACUUCUGGACGUCCCUAACUCAGAGGGUGAGACCGAAGCCAAGAAGUUAGGAGGAAACUGCAUAUUUGCCCCAGCAAAUGUGAGUUAUGACUCUCCCAGGGUGUGCAUGAGGAAAAUUGUUGGGGUAUUCCUUCGAGCGGUGUCUGGGGUCGGUCAGAUGGCUUAGCGGGUAAGGGCACUUGAUGCCACCCAUGACCACCUCAGUUUGAUUUUUGGGAACCACAUGGUAUAAGGAAAGAUCCAACUCUGACCUGCGCACACACAUGUAAACAGAUGUAAGGGUGGGGAACCCACCUCCUUUUAGCUUUUGAC
Molecule: long non-coding RNA, 736 nt
Filed under: Rattus norvegicus (Norway rat)
Lineage: Eukaryota; Metazoa; Chordata; Mammalia; Rodentia; Muridae
Description: long non-coding RNA NONRATT030925
Source: RNAcentral